CAGCCGAUGGCGUAGUGGUCACUGCGCUCGCCUUGCACGCGGGAGACCCGGGUUCGAUUCCCGGAGGGUUAA
Molecule: transfer RNA, 72 nt
Filed under: Diaphorina citri (Asian citrus psyllid)
Lineage: Eukaryota; Metazoa; Arthropoda; Insecta; Hemiptera; Psyllidae
Rfam family: tRNA
About the family: Transfer RNA (tRNA) molecules are approximately 80 nucleotides in length. Their secondary structure includes four short double-helical elements and three loops (D, anti-codon, and T loops).
Source: Rfam by way of RNAcentral